This 253-nucleotide non-coding RNA is filed under the name uncultured bacterium. RNAcentral's name for it is "partial 16S ribosomal RNA". It matches the Rfam family "Bacterial small subunit ribosomal RNA", at positions 524 to 776 of the family's 1533-position model. The record is from RNAcentral. RNAcentral also lists the same sequence under 1 other name.
UACGAAGGGUGCAAACGUUGCUCGGAAUCAUUGGGCGUAAAGCGCACGUAGGCGGCCUGUUAAGUCGGAUGUGAAAUCCCUCGGCUCAACCGAGGACGUGCAUUCGAAACUGGCAAGCUCGAGUAUGGAAGAGGGUCGCGGAAUUCCCGGUGUAGAGGUGAAAUUCGUAGAUAUCGGGAGGAACACCAGUGGCGAAGGCGGCGACCUGGGCCAAUACUGACGCUGAGGUGCGAAAGCGUGGGGAGCAAACAGG